This 245-nucleotide ribosomal RNA is filed under the name uncultured bacterium. RNAcentral describes it as "partial 16S ribosomal RNA". It matches the Rfam family "Bacterial small subunit ribosomal RNA", at positions 524 to 768 of the family's 1533-position model. The record is from RNAcentral.
GACGUAGGAUGCGAGCGUUGUCCGGAUUCAUUGGGCGUAAAGAGUUCGUAGGCGGUUUGUUAAGUCUGGUGUUAAAGACCGGGGCUCAACCUCGGGAGUGCAUUGGAUACUGGCAGACUUGAGUAUGGUAGAGGCGAGUGGAAUUCCCAGUGUAGCGGUGAAAUGCGUAGAUAUUGGGAAGAACACCGGUGGCGCAAGCGACUCGCUGGGCCAUCACUGACGCUGAGGAACGAAAGCUAGGGGAG